UGAGGAAUAUUGGUCAAUGGCCGAGAGGCUGAACCAGCCAAGUCGCGUGAGGGAAGACUGUCCUAUGGAUUGUAAACCUCUUUUGUCAGGGAGCAAAGGCUGGCCUGCGGGCCAGUUUGAGAGUACCUGAAGAAAAAGCAUAGGCUAACUCCGUGCCAGCAGCCGCGGUAAUACGGAGGAUGCGAGCGUUAUCCGGAUUUAUUGGGUUUAAAGGGUGCGCAGGCGGCUUGUCAAGCAAGCGGUAAAAUGUCGGGGCUCAACCCCGUCCGGCCGUUUGAACUGGCGAGCUUGAGUAUAUUCGAGGUAAGCGGAAUUCGUGGUGUAGCGGUGAAAUGCAUAGAUAUCACGAAGAACUCCGAUUGCGAAGGCAGCUUACCAGGAUGUUACUGACGCUCAGGCA
This 400-nucleotide ribosomal RNA is filed under the name uncultured bacterium. Its description in RNAcentral is "bacterial SSU rRNA". It matches the Rfam family "Bacterial small subunit ribosomal RNA", at positions 355 to 753 of the family's 1533-position model. The record is from RNAcentral.